This 468-nucleotide ribosomal RNA is filed under the name uncultured bacterium. RNAcentral describes it as "partial 16S ribosomal RNA". It matches the Rfam family "Bacterial small subunit ribosomal RNA", at positions 28 to 507 of the family's 1533-position model. The record is from RNAcentral.
GACGAACGCUGGCGGCGUGCUUAACACAUGCAAGUCGAACGGAAAGGCCCUGCUUUUGUGGGGUGCUCGAGUGGCGAACGGGUGAGUAACACGUGAGUAACCUGCCCUUGACUUUGGGAUAACUUCAGGAAACUGGGGCUAAUACCGGAUAGGAGCUCCUGCUGCAUGGUGGGGGUUGGAAAGUUUCGGCGGUAGGGGAUGGACUCGCGGCCUAUCAGCUUGUUGGUGGGGUAGUGGCUUACCAAGGCUUUGACGGGUAGCCGGCCUGAGAGGGUGACCGGCCACAUUGGGACUGAGAUACGGCCCAGACUCCUACGGGAGGCAGCAGUGGGGAAUAUUGCACAAUGGGCGGAAGCCUGAUGCAGCAACGCCGCGUGCGGGAUGACGGCCUUCGGGUUGUAAACCGCUUUCGCCUGUGACGAAGCGUGAGUGACGGUAAUGGGUAAAGAAGCACCGGCUAACUACGUG